GAUGAACGCUGGCGGCGUGCCUAAUACAUGCCAGUCGAGCGAACGGACGAGAAGCUUGCUUCUCUGAUGUUAGCGGCGGACGGGUGAGUAACACGUGGAUAACCUACCUAUAAGACUGGGAUAACUUCGGGAAACCGGAGCUAAUACCGGAUAAUAUUUUGAACCGCAUGGUUCAAAAGUAAAAGACGGUCUUGCUGUCACUUAUAGAUGGAUCCGCGCUGCAUUAGCUAGUUGGUAAGGUAACGGCUUACCAAUGCAACGAUGCAUAGCCGACCUGAGAGGGUGAUCGGCCACACUGGAACUGAGACACGGUCCAGACUCCUACGGGAGGCAGCAGUAGGGAAUCUUCCGCAAUGGGCGAAAGCCUGACGUAGCAACGCCGCGUGAGUGAUGAAGGUCUUCGGAUCGUAAAACUCUGUUAUUAGGGAAGAACAUAUGUGUAAGUAACUGUGCACAUCUUGACGGUACCUAAUCAGAAAGCCACGGCUAACUACGUG
Molecule: ribosomal RNA, 497 nt
Filed under: uncultured bacterium
Lineage: Bacteria
Description: partial 16S ribosomal RNA
Rfam family: Bacterial small subunit ribosomal RNA
Source: RNAcentral